Molecule: microRNA precursor, 88 nt
Organism: Homo sapiens (human)
Lineage: Eukaryota; Metazoa; Chordata; Mammalia; Primates; Hominidae
Source: Ensembl
GUAUUAGGUUGGUGCAAAGGUAAUUGCAGUUUUUCCCAUUUAAAAUAUGGAAAAAAAAAUCACAAUUACUUUUGCAUCAACCUAAUAA